AUGAUAGUAAAAUUGAUUGAUGGCCGUUGGGAGGUCACUUAUUUUAUUGCUGGGCAUAACCAUCCAUUGAUUGAGAAAACUUCAUUGACUAAAUAUUUGCGAUCGCACCAAGGCAUACCCCCAGAAGAGAAGUUGUUCCUGAAAAACCUUCAUAAUUGCAACUUAACUACAGGCCGAAUGAUGAUGCACAUCAUGUCAGAUUACUAUGGCACAGAGUUGAUUGUUCCUUAUAUUGACAAGCACAUCACGAACCUGAAGUCAAGCUUGAACAGGGAUGCAACUAAAGAAGGCGAUAUGAUUGAGAUGGUUGCCUACUUCAAAGAUAUGCAG
This 330-nucleotide ribosomal RNA is filed under the name Triticum aestivum (bread wheat). RNAcentral describes it as "partial small subunit ribosomal RNA". Lineage: Eukaryota; Viridiplantae; Streptophyta; Magnoliopsida; Poales; Poaceae. The record is from RNAcentral.